Long non-coding RNA from Sander lucioperca (pikeperch), 321 nucleotides. RefSeq lists it as uncharacterized. Lineage: Eukaryota; Metazoa; Chordata; Actinopteri; Perciformes; Percidae. The record is from RefSeq and is a predicted model, not a curated record. The transcript has 3 exons.
UAUUUUUUCUUCGCGUUACCAAAAAAACAAUGGGCCUCAUUCACCAACUGUUCUUACGAAGAAAUGUGUUCUAAAAUCCCACUUACGCACUUUUUAGGAAGAUUCUGACAUUCACUAAUGUUUUCUUAUCUUGGAUUUGUUCUUAGCUAAGAACAAAAUCUACGAACACUCAAAAGCACUCUUAAGCACAUUUGAGUGAUGACAGUUUGCUCCAAAUAAUUGGUUACUGCAUCUUAUUUAAUUCUACAGUCAUUUACAAUGAUAGUAUUGUACUGUAAUGUAUUUCUGAUCAUUUGUUGAAAAAAAAUCAUAUUAUGCAAA